RNAcentral lists this long non-coding RNA (1014 nucleotides) under Equus asinus (donkey). Its description in RNAcentral is "lncRNA (ENSEASG00005030148.1)". Lineage: Eukaryota; Metazoa; Chordata; Mammalia; Perissodactyla; Equidae. The record is from RNAcentral.
CUCUCUGGGGAUGCCUGAGCAAUUCCCUGUGCGUGGCCGCAAGCAGACGUCACUGCCUUUGGAAAUGUUGCAGCCCCUGCUGUUCAUUUCUUCAAAGUCAUGGCUAUGCCAGAUCGUUCUGGGAGAGUUCACUAAACGCUUGUAAUUCCCAAAGAGGAGGCAACUGCAGCUUUCGAUGGAGCUCUGCUUUCAGACUACAAUAAACCGCAUAUCCGCGAAUUUUUUUUUUGUCUUGGAGACAACUGUGAUAGGGUUAGAAGAGUCACUAAUUUUUAAUGCCACCGAAGGCAAAAUACAGUGUCUGAUCACAGCAGUCACUGCCUUGUCACUGCCUUGCUAACUUAAAAGAAAGACGAAUGUUAACAGAAGCUUUUACUUUUAAUUUGAUGAUUUAUCCAUUUUCACAAGGAUUCAUUGAGUGAGGGCCAGGCUCUUGGCUAAGCAUUGCAAAUACAGCAAUGAGACUCGAUGCCCUAAAUUUCACACAAAAGAUCUGACAGGGCCGUGAAUUCGACUGGCAAGGUAAUUUGGCCGUCUGCAGGAUCAAACUAUGCUUUUAGUUUUCAGCUCCCUCUGCUCUAUAGUUGCAAGAGAUAAGAAUUUCCUUUUGCACAGUCAUAGAAAGUUCCAAGUUUCAGUCCAAGUCUUGAGCCAAUCGUUUAGUCAUUUAAGUUUGUCAUUCCUUUUCCUUAAGUGUUUAGUCCUUAAAGAAAGAAUUCCUUUAUCCCCAAAUUUCUCAUGUCCUUCAAACCAUUUUAUGAUGGCGGCAAUUGAGUGUCCACAAAGCCAUGCCUUCAGGGAAUACUUGAUGCCUGGGGACCACAGGCAUUAAUUCAGUCAGCAGUUCCUCUCUUGCAGGCCAUAGGUGCCAGUUACCCAUCUCUGACUAGUUAUCUUCAAUAGCUAAGACAGAUAACUGGUCUCAGAUUCCACGUUUGUUGGUUUCAACUCACUCCUAGAACUCAGUUUCUUCAUCAGUGUUCUUGGUUGCAAAACACAGAACCAAACUUUGGC